RNAcentral lists this ribosomal RNA (491 nucleotides) under uncultured bacterium. Its description in RNAcentral is "partial 16S ribosomal RNA". It matches the Rfam family "Bacterial small subunit ribosomal RNA", at positions 29 to 506 of the family's 1533-position model. The record is from RNAcentral.
AGUGAACGCUGGCGGUAGGCCUAACACAUGCAAGUCGAACGGCAGCACAGUAAGAGCUUGCUCUUACGGGUGGCGAGUGGCGGACGGGUGAGGAAUACAUCGGAAUCUACUUUUUCGUGGGGGAUAACGUAGGGAAACUUACGCUAAUACCGCAUACGACCUACGGGUGAAAGCAGGGGAUCUUCGGACCUUGCGCGAUUGAAUGAGCCGAUGUCGGAUUAGAUAGUUGGCGGGGUAAAGGCCCACCAAGGCGACGAUCCGUAGCUGGUCUGAGAGGAUGAUCAGCCACACUGGAACUGAGACACGGCCCAGACUCAUACGGGAGGCAGGAGGGGGGAAUAUUGGACAAUGGGCGCAAGCCUGAUCCAGCCAUACCGCGUGGGUGAAGAAGGCCUUCGGGUUGUAAAGCCCUUUUGUUGGGAAAGAAAAGCAGCAGGUUAAUACCCCGCUGUUCUGACGGUACCCAAAGAAUAAGCACCGGCUAACUUCGU